UGGGGAAUAUUGCACAAUGGGCGCAAGCCUGAUGCAGCCAUGCCGCGUGUAUGAAGAAGGCCUUCGGGUUGUAAAGCACUUUCAGCGGGGAGGAAGGCGAUAAGGUUAAUACCUUUGCUCAUUGACGUUACCCGCAGAAGAAGCACCGGCUAACUCCGUGCCAGCAGCCGCGGUAAUACGGAGGGUGCAAGCGUUAAUCGGAAUUACUGGGCGUAAAGCGCACGCAGGCGGUUGAUUGAGUCAGAUGUGAAAUCCCCGGGCUUAACCCGGGAAUUGCAUCUGAUACUGGUCAGCUAGAGUCUUGUAGAGGGGGGUAGAAUUCCAUGUGUAGCGGUGAAAUGCGUAGAGAUGUGGAGGAAUACCGGUGGCGAAGGCGGCCCCCUGGACAAAGACUGACGCUCAGGUGCGAAAGCGUGGGGAGCAAACAGG
RNAcentral lists this ribosomal RNA (429 nucleotides) under Chloroflexota bacterium. RNAcentral describes it as "Chloroflexi bacterium partial 16S ribosomal RNA". It matches the Rfam family "Bacterial small subunit ribosomal RNA", at positions 355 to 776 of the family's 1533-position model. Lineage: Bacteria; Bacillati; Chloroflexota. The record is from RNAcentral.